This 471-nucleotide ribosomal RNA is filed under the name uncultured bacterium. RNAcentral's name for it is "bacterial SSU rRNA". It matches the Rfam family "Bacterial small subunit ribosomal RNA", at positions 355 to 825 of the family's 1533-position model. The record is from RNAcentral.
UGGGGAAUAUUGGACAAUGGGCGCAAGCCUGAUCCAGCCAUGCCGCGUGUGUGAAGAAGGCCUUCGGGUUGUAAAGCACUUUCAGCGAGGAGGAAGGGAGUUGUGUUAAUAGCACAGCUUCUUGACGUUACUCGCAGAAGAAGCAUCGGCUAACUCUGUGUCAGCAGCCGCGGUAAUACAGAGGGUGCAAGCGUUAAUCGGAAUUACUGGGCGUAAAGCGCACGUAGGCGGUUUUUAAGUCAGAUGUGAAAGCCCCGGGCUCAACCUGGGAAUUGCAUUUGAAACUGGAAAACUAGAGUGUGUGAGAGGGGGGUAGAAUUCCAAGUGUAGCGGUGAAAUGCGUAGAGAUUUGGAGGAAUACCAGUGGCGAAGGCGGCCCCCUGGCACAACACUGACGCUCAGGUGCGAAAGCGUGGGGAGCAAACAGGAUUAGAUACCCACGUAGUCCCUGAGCGGGCUGGCAAGGCGCAU